GAAUAUUUUAUUCACUGCACCUUCCUCUCGCGUUUAGUUCUGCUAGGCGGUAAACCAAACGGACGUCACAGAUGGCAAAGUAACCCCAACUCUGCAUGAAGCAGUUAUUUUUAUGGAUUCAGAUCUGUGUGGAAGAAGUACAGUACUGGAUAAUUGGGGAUGAAGGCCGAAAGGGAUCAACUUUGCUGUGUUUACAGUACAUCAUUUUCAGUGUAACUUAUUUUAAUGUCAA
Lepisosteus oculatus (spotted gar) is the source of this 232-nucleotide long non-coding RNA. RefSeq lists it as uncharacterized. The record is from RefSeq and is a predicted model, not a curated record. Lineage: Eukaryota; Metazoa; Chordata; Actinopteri; Semionotiformes; Lepisosteidae.